Chelonia mydas (Green sea turtle) is the source of this 179-nucleotide long non-coding RNA. RefSeq lists it as uncharacterized. NCBI's taxonomy places the organism in Eukaryota, Metazoa, Chordata, Testudines, Cheloniidae. The transcript has 3 exons. The record is from RefSeq and is a predicted model, not a curated record.
AGUUGAUGCUACACUUGGAGGAGAGGAAGAUAUGCGGGAGGGUAGGCAUAGGGUCCGGAGUGACCGAGACAAAUUGGAGGAUUGGGCCAAAAGAAAUCUGAUGAGGUUCAACAAGGACAAGUGCAGAGUCCUGCACUUAGGAUGGAAGAAUCUCAUGCACCGCUACAGGCUGGGGACUG